This 244-nucleotide ribosomal RNA is filed under the name uncultured bacterium. Its description in RNAcentral is "partial 16S ribosomal RNA". It matches the Rfam family "Bacterial small subunit ribosomal RNA", at positions 15 to 248 of the family's 1533-position model. The record is from RNAcentral.
GAUCAUGGCUCAGGAUGAACGCUAGCUACAGGCUUAACACAUGCAAGUCGAGGGGCAGCAUUUCAGUUUGCUUGCAAACUGGAGAUGGCGACCGGCGCACGGGUGAGUAACACGUAUCCAACCUGCCGAUAACUCGGGGAUAGCCUUUCGAAAGAAAGAUUAAUACCCGAUAGUAUAAUGAAACCGCAUGGUCUUAUUAUUAAAGAAUUUCGGUUAUCGUAUGGGGAUGCGUUCCAUUAGGCAG